This 254-nucleotide ribosomal RNA is filed under the name uncultured bacterium. RNAcentral's name for it is "partial 16S ribosomal RNA". It matches the Rfam family "Bacterial small subunit ribosomal RNA", at positions 524 to 776 of the family's 1533-position model. The record is from RNAcentral.
UACGAAGGGGGGCUAGCGUUGCUCGGAAUCACUGGGCGUAAAGCGCACGUAGGCGGGUUCUUAAGUCAGGGGUGAAAUCCUGGAGCUCAACUCCAGAACUGCCUUUGAUACUGGGAAUCUCGAGUCCGGGAGAGGUGAGUGGAACUGCGAGUGUAGAGGUGAAAUUCGUAGAUAUUCGCAAGAACACCAGUGGCGAAGGCGGCUCACUGGCCCGGUACUGACGCUGAGGUGCGAAAGCGUGGGGAGCAAACAGG